GUUCCCUCCUGGGGAGGAGGAGGGCCGGUGGGAUCUGUCGGGGAGAAGGUGGGCCGGGGGACUCCUCCGGGGGUUGUAGGAGAGCCGGAGGGACCCUGCCGGGGAAACGGUGGGCCGGGGGACCCCUCUGGGGGAAGAGAAGUGGGGGAUACCUGCCGGGGAAACAGUUGAUCAGUGGACCUCUCUGGGGUAAGAGGAGGGCGGGGAGACCUGCCGUGAGAAGGUGGGUCAGGGGACCCCUCCUGGAGAGAAGGUGGGCCGGGGGAAUCUCUCCGGGGGAGGAAGAGGCUCGGGGAGACUUCUCUGGGGGAGAGGAGGGCAGGGGGACCUGCCGGGGAUGUGGGCCGGGAGACCCCUCCAGGAGAAAAGAUGGGCCUGGGGACCCCUCCGAGGGAGGGGGGAGUACCUGCUGGGGAAACAGUGAGCCGGGGGACCCCUCUGGGGGAAGAGGAGGGUGGGGGGACCUGCCGGGGAGAAGGUGGGCCAGGGUGAAGGAGGGCAAAAGGACCCCUCUGGGGGAGAAGGUAGGCUGGGGAUCACUCUGGAGGAGAAGGUGGGCAGGAGGACCCUCCAGGGAAAAGGUGGGAGCCUCUGGGUGAAGGCAGGCCUGGCUUCCUCUGAGAAGGUGGUCAGGGACCCCCACCAGCAGAGGGACAGGGGGCAGCUGGGGUUUCCUCUUGUUUCUUCCUUCCUGCUCCCUUUCCCCCUGAUUCCUGGGAACAGCUAGCCCUCCCACACAGGAUCCUUGACUCUCCUGUUGCUGAGCCCCUAGAGGACAGAUUUCUGGGGAGCCAGGAGCACGCUGGCACAGACUCCAGCAGUGCCUGGGACGUGCUCAGCAUCAGCUCUAGGCGGUGACCACUCCAUCCUCCGCACUUGCAGGGACACUUCGGCACUGCCGCUCCACAGACAGUGUUUGAAACUCUACAAUAGACAUACUACGUUUGAAACACACGAGAUCCGUAAGAGCUCUUUCACAAAAGAAAACAAAAAACGGUGAACCAGAAUGCUCGACCAGCGGCUGGGUGAGCGACGCGGACCGCCGCGGGGCGUGGACGGUGCGCACGCACUGCCAGCGCAGGUGGAGAGGAGGCCGGAAGGGCUCACUGCUCCGCCCCGAGCUGUCCCAAGCACAAGCCGGAAGCACUCACGGCCCCGCCCCGCGCACAAGCCGGAAGCGGGCCACGGCCCCGCCCCGUUCUAAGCACAGGCCGGAAACGGCCCCGCCUCUCGCACAAGCCGGAAGCGUCUACGACCCUUUCCCGAACCGCGCAGAAUCCGGAAGCCCUCACGGCACCUCUCUGCGCCGUCCAGCGCACAGGCCGGAAGCAACUCGCGGCCCCGCCCCGCACAGAAGCCGGAAGCGCACACGUCCUUUUCCCGCCCCGCGCAGAGGCCGGAAGCGCUCACGGCCCCGCCCCAACCCGCCUGAAGCUGGGGCCGGAAACAGUGGCGGCUGCGUCCCUCCCCUUGUAUAGACCGGAAGCGCCCAGCUCCUCAGACUGGGGAGGUGGAUUUCUGUCCCGUUUCUCUAAGCCCCGCGGCGGGGCUUGUCCCCAUUGCUGCCGGCUGUGCGACCCUAGGGACGCCACAGCUGCGGGCGGUCAGAGUCGUGUGGCCCCCGCAGGGUCGGCCCUGGAGGGUGGUGGGCCCAAGGGCGCGAGGUGCACACGGAGAAAACCACAAUGAAGGGUGGGUCUGGUCAGUAGGGACAGUAAUACACGUGCUUCUAGCGGGAUCUGGUGCGUUUCUUCCUUGGGCUUCUUUCUCCACGUUCAGUCCCGCUUCCCAGCACGGGGACGAGGAUGACAGCGCGAGUCCCUUCGGGCUGGAGACCGUAACCCCCUCGCAGAACAGUUUUGAAUUGCACUCACUCUAGCGAGCUCUCAGGCAGCUGUUGAGCUUUUUAAUUAUGUAAGUCCACUCCCCCACUGCCCCUCGCCCCCGACACACGCGUGGACUCAAAGUCAGGAUCCCCAGACCUCGUCCUCGCACCGAGAAGGCCUGGUGCCUGCGGUAGCGGUCCCAACUUGAAUUAAGUCUCAGUAACAUCUGUUGCUACAAGAAAUUUAAAAGCGACACCGUACUUUAUACUAAAAGAAUAAAGAUUUUUAUUAAGCA
Felis catus (domestic cat) is the source of this 2121-nucleotide RNA transcript. It is a transcript of the gene named myosin IC heavy chain-like, with no coding region annotated. The record is from RefSeq and is a predicted model, not a curated record. The transcript has 3 exons. NCBI's taxonomy places the organism in Eukaryota, Metazoa, Chordata, Mammalia, Carnivora, Felidae.